Bufo bufo (common toad) is the source of this 130-nucleotide long non-coding RNA. RefSeq lists it as uncharacterized. NCBI's taxonomy places the organism in Eukaryota, Metazoa, Chordata, Amphibia, Anura, Bufonidae. The transcript has 2 exons. The record is from RefSeq and is a predicted model, not a curated record.
GCGCCGGCUGUAUACCUAGUGUGGUCCUCAGAGUGCCUGAUGAAGGGCGAUUAUUACGCCUGAAACGUUGCAACUGACAAACCACCUAUUCCGGCUGAAAUAACAUGAAAUAAAAUCAUUUAAUUAUCAC